RNAcentral lists this ribosomal RNA (427 nucleotides) under uncultured bacterium. Its description in RNAcentral is "partial 16S ribosomal RNA". It matches the Rfam family "Bacterial small subunit ribosomal RNA", at positions 354 to 796 of the family's 1533-position model. The record is from RNAcentral.
GUGGGGAAUAUUGGGCAAUGGGGGCAACCCUGACCCAGCGACGCCGCGUGAGGGAAGAAGGCCUUAGGGUCGUAAACCUCUGUUGUGUGGGAAGAAGGAAGUGACGGUACCACACGAGGAAGUCCCGGCUAACUACGUGCCAGCAGCCGCGGUAAUACGUAGGGGACGAGCGUUGUCCGGAAUUACUGGGCGUAAAGGGCGCGUAGGCGGUCAUUUAAGUCAGCUGUGAAAUGGUCCGGCUCAACCGGAUCAUGCGGUUGAAACUGGAUGACUGGAGUGCUGGAGAGGCAAGUGGAAUUCCCAGUGUAGCGGUGAAAUGCGUAGAUAUUGGGAAGAACACAGGUGGCGAAGGCGACUUGCUGGCCAGCAACUGACGCUGAGGCGCGAAAGCCAGGGGAGCAAACGGGAUUAGAUACCCUGGUAGUCC